This is a non-coding RNA of Cinara cedri, 313 nucleotides long. The record is from the annotation of a GenBank genome assembly. NCBI's taxonomy places the organism in Eukaryota, Metazoa, Arthropoda, Insecta, Hemiptera, Aphididae.
AAAGUCAAAAACACAAAUUCGUCGACCGAGCAUUUUACAUCAGGAAUGUUUGGCGGAAGAGUAAAUUCGCCUUUUGAUUCGAUAAAAUCCACACCCGACUUAUUAUAGUAUACGAGAUUAAAUUAUCAAAUGAACGCCCGUAGUCGUUGUAUUUUUUUCAAACCGACGGGAGACAGGCUCGAGUGUAUCCGAAUUGGUUUCCGUUUAAAUUUGUGAUGUAUCCACUACUGGUCCAAUUAGUUCCUAUAAUGUUCGCAGUAAGAUAGUCGAACACGCACAUUUCCAUUCCCGUUCUUACGGGCUUAGGACUGCC